GACCUCGGAUCAGGUAGGAAUACCCGCUGAACUUAAGCAUANU
Molecule: ribosomal RNA, 43 nt
Filed under: Fusarium avenaceum
Lineage: Eukaryota; Fungi; Ascomycota; Sordariomycetes; Hypocreales; Nectriaceae
Description: partial 28S ribosomal RNA
Source: RNAcentral